This 208-nucleotide small RNA is filed under the name Nitrosomonas europaea ATCC 19718. Its description in RNAcentral is "Proteobacterial sRNA psRNA2". It matches the Rfam family "Proteobacterial sRNA psRNA2". Lineage: Bacteria; Pseudomonadati; Pseudomonadota; Betaproteobacteria; Nitrosomonadales; Nitrosomonadaceae. The record is from Rfam by way of RNAcentral.
GGAUUACUCCUUUACGCUUUCGCGUUUGGUUGAUAAAGAUUCGCACCUCUAUCAAACCGGGUAAUCCCACCUCUUGGCAAGACCUGCUGUCAGAUCAAAUCUGAACUACUACACAUUAUGUAACUGGGCUAGGGGGGUGGACUCACCUCGGCUAUCUACCGGAUCUAUCAUCACCCAGAUCUGCCCGAUAUGGUCAAUCAACCGGUUU